This 969-nucleotide ribosomal RNA is filed under the name Cordycipitaceae sp. TW-2020a. RNAcentral's name for it is "SSU rRNA". It matches the Rfam family "Eukaryotic small subunit ribosomal RNA", at positions 128 to 1106 of the family's 1831-position model. The record is from RNAcentral. Lineage: Eukaryota; Fungi; Ascomycota; Sordariomycetes; Hypocreales; Cordycipitaceae.
UACCUUACUACUUGGAUAACCGUGGUAAUUCUAGAGCUAAUACAUGCUGCCAACCCCGACUCCGGAAGGGGCGUAUUUAUUAGAUCCAAAGCCAACGCCCUUCUGGGGCUCCUUGGUGAUUCAUGAUAACUCUUCGAAUCGCACGGCCUUGCGCCGGCGAUGGUUCAUUCAAAUUUCUUCCCUAUCAACUUUCGAUGUUUGGGUAUUGGCCAAACAUGGUCGCAACGGGUAACGGAGGGUUAGGGCUCGACCCCGGAGAAGGAGCCUGAGAAACGGCUACUACAUCCAAGGAAGGCAGCAGGCGCGCAAAUUACCCAAUCCCGACACGGGGAGGUAGUGACAAUAAAUACUGAUACAGGGCUCUUUAGGGUCUUGUAAUUGGAAUGAGUACAGUUUAAACCCCUUAGCGAGGAACAAUUGGAGGGCAAGUCUGGUGCCAGCAGCCGCGGUAAUUCCAGCUCCAAUAGCGUAUAUUAAAGUUGUUGUGGUUAAAAAGCUCGUAGUUGAACCUUGGGCCUGGCUGGCCGGUCCGCCUCACCGCGUGCACUGGUCCGGCCGGGCCUUUCCCUCUGCGGAACCCCAUGCCCUUCGCUGGGCGUGGCGGGGAGGCAGGACGUUUACUUUGAAAAAAUUAGAGUGCUCAAGGCAGGCCUAUGCUCGGAUACAUUAGCAUGGAAUAAUGAAACAGGACGCGCGGUUCCGUUUCGUUGGCUCUAGGGACCGCCGUAAUGAUCGAUAGGGACAGUCGGGGGCAUCAGUAUUCAGCUGUCAGAGGUGAAAUUCUUGGAUUUGCUGAAGACUAACUACUGCGAAAGCAUUUGCCAAGGAUGUUUUCAUUAAUCAGGAACGAAAGUUAGGGGAUCGAAGACGAUCAGAUACCGUCGUAGUCCUAACCAUAAACUAUGCCGACUAGGGAUCGGACGAUGUUGUCUCUUGACGCGUUCGGCACCUUGCGAGAAAUCAAAGUGC